Molecule: long non-coding RNA, 2608 nt
Filed under: Sus scrofa (pig)
Lineage: Eukaryota; Metazoa; Chordata; Mammalia; Artiodactyla; Suidae
Description: lncRNA (ENSSSCG00030040461.1)
Source: RNAcentral
UUUGAUCCCUGGCCCCACUCAGUGGGUUAAGGAUCUGGUGUUGCCACAAGCUGUGGCAUAAGUUUCAGAUGCAGUUCAUAUCCAGCAUUGCUUUGGCUGUGGUGCAGGCUGUCAGCUGCAACUCUGAUUUGACCCCUAGCCUGGGAUCUUCCAUAUAUCUCAGGUGUGGCCCUAAAAAGAAAAAAAAAAAAAAGGAUGCAUGCGUGAACUGAGGGGUGGGAGAGGGAGGUUUGUGGGUAAGGGUCUGGGUACACUUUUUGGUUUGACUACUUAGCCCACUGACAAGUACAUACUCCUCCCCGCACCCCAAUUGAGAAGUAUUAGUUUGUUUGCUAGACUUAGCAUCAGGAGGUAGGCUAGGUUAAUAAUUAAAGAUGGCAGACAUCUUUAUCUUCCUUCAUUCCCAACAUUUCAUGAUGAGAGCAAUGAAUUCAAAAAUGGUGAAAACCAACAACAGAAAAAAGAAAGGAAGAGAGAUCACGAGUGGAUGAAACAUCCCAAUAAUUUCAGCAAGAUGGCAAACAGUUGGGAAUGUUGAUGGGUGAAAUAGAGUAGAAGAGGGGGAACUGUUAAGGGCAGACAUAGGGCUGUCAGUGGGGGAGGCCUUGGACUUGGGACUUGGCACAGCCCUGGAGAGCAGCAGAUUCAGAGUGGCCAGGUAUGGCAAAGGCAGAAGUGACAAGUGGAGCUGAACCUGAGGGGUCGAUGCAACCCUUUCCCCUGGGGAACCUGGAGACCAUCAGUUUGUGCAGCUGUGUGCUCGCCCAGGGGUGAAGCCCCUCUCCUGGCUCCCAGCUUGCUUGCCACAAAGUGAAGCAACCCACUCAAGAUACAAAUACUGAUAGAACUAUUAAAAGCUGAGAAGGGAGUUCCCACUGUGGUGCCAAAGGACCGGCAGGGUCUCUAGAGCACUGGGGUGUAGGUUCCACACUUGGUCCAGCAGAGGCUAUGGCAUAGGUUGCAACUGCAGCUUGGAUCUGAUCCCUGGCCUGGGAAUGCCGUAUGCCAUGGGGUGGCCAAAUAAGGAAAAGAAAAAAGUAAAAUAAAAAACAAUCCAUUGGGAGAAAAAAAGAAUUUUUUUUUUUUUAACAACUUAAGAAACAAAAGUUGGGAGGAAUAGGGAGCAGGUUGGGAGAUGUAGCAAUAAGUGGGCUAAAUCCUCUCCUGUCACAGCAUGCGGUCUGAAGUAAUCAGGAAAUGGCAGAACAAGCAUAUUAUUUUGUGAUGUGUGGAUGUAAUCAGCAGGGACAGUGGUCGUCCCUGAACUGCAGAACUGGCCGAGGGCUCCAGCUGGGUGCAGGGCUGGCCUUGUCGUUCAGAGCCCUUCUGUGUUACUUGAUGUUUUUAAAACCCGUGCAUGUGGUACAUUUUUUUCAAAAUAAAGAAAAAGAAAUAAAGACUUGAAAAUAAAUGGAAGUGGAUAUUGAUUCUGUAGGAGGGAUUCCAGUUGACCAUGAAAAGGAGCUUCUGAAUGCCAGUAUGGCUCAAACCCAGCUGGGGUAUUGGCGUGGCUGGGAAGCUCUGGGGAUGUGCAAGCCCCAGGCUAUUCCUGCCUGUCUGGGCUGCAGUCCGCUCCAGCCCAGAGCAGGGAGGAACCACAUGGACUCUGGGGCCAGAUUUUGACCCGCAGAGGUUGGAGGAGCUAAAGCAUGCAGCACCUCGGGGUCUCCUCUCCCUCAGGAGAACUGAGAGUGGCCCUCAUCCCUCCUCUGAGCUCUCCCCGGACUGCUGCAGAGGCUGAGGAUCAGGCUCCACUGAGCUCUUCUUUUGUCUUUCUUCUCCUUCUUCCUUCUCUCCCUCCUUCCUUUUCCUUCCUUCUGAAGAAUAGUUCCAUUUAGACUGCUGACAGCUGUCGUUUUUGGAUCGAAGCAUUAUUCUAAACUGGGAGGUAACCGCCUGUGUUCCAAUCCAGCCUCAUCUCCUGCUCCUGAUGCCUCUCUUCCCACUCCUGGGCUCCCUCAGCAUCUUUUUUUUUUUAUUAUUAUUAUUAUAGUUGAUUUACAAUGUUCUGUCAAUUUCAGCAAAGUGACCCAGUCACGCAUAUAUAUAUAUGUUCUUUUUCUCACAUUAUCUUCCAUCAUGCUCCAUCACAAGUGACUAGAUAUAGUUCCCUGUGCUACAUAGCAGGAUCCCAUCCCUCAAGUCACCUGACAGCUGAAUCAGUGGUUAAGCAGGUAAUAGCCCCGUGGGAAUCACACUUCAGAACUUCUGCCCUGUGUUCCUAUAGCUCUAAUUGGGUGCCUCAGAUCAUAGUUCUAAUGUUUACUUUGGGAAAGAGGGUCAUGAACGGAGCAGAGGAAACCAUGGCUAGGCUAGACUUUAACCUCUUCUCAUUCAUCCUGAGCUGUGAGGGUUUCACUCCUUCUCCUACUGGUUUACCCUUUAUGGUCUGAUGACUUACUUAUUUUCUUACAGCUCUGAGGCUUGGCUGGGGCAUGGGGCCCCACGCUGGACCUUCACUUGACAUCUCAGCAUCUUUUCAGCCUGUCUCAGCUCUUUGGCAAAAGUGGUAAAAAGAGUCCUCUUUAUCAGAAGAAAGAUCUUCAUGACCACUCCAAUUUCCCUGCUUCCCUCCUCUCCAAACUUCCUCUUCAUGUUUGUUAAGAUU